Paramuricea clavata is the source of this 220-nucleotide non-coding RNA. The record is from the annotation of a GenBank genome assembly. NCBI's taxonomy places the organism in Eukaryota, Metazoa, Cnidaria, Anthozoa, Malacalcyonacea, Plexauridae.
GUUUUAGCUUUGAGCCCGUUUUACUGGGUGAUUUAGCUUACCAGCGUACCUAGAUGUUUCUUGGUAUUUAGAUAAGAAAUGGACCCUUCAAAAUUACCUAAAACAACCUUUAAAAUUAUCUAAAAUAACCUGUAAAAUUAUCUGAAAUAACCUUUAAAAUUACCUAAAAUAAUAGACAAACCACGCAUGCGUGUAUACGUAGAAAUAUUGUCAGUCUGGG